UCCAGACUCCUACGGGAGGCAGCAGUGGGGGAUAUUGCACAAUGGGGGGAACCCUGAUGCAGCGACGCCGCGUGGGUGAAGGAGCGUUUCGGCGCGUAAAGCCCUAUCGGCAGGGAAGAAGGAGGACGGUACCUGACUAAGAAGCCCCGGCUAACUACGUGCCAGCAGCCGCGGUAAUACGUAGGGGGCAAGCGUUAUCCGGAUUUACUGGGUGUAAAGGGGGCGCAGACGGCAGCGCAAGCCAGGAGUGAAAGCCCGGGGCCCAACCCCGGGACUGCUCUUGGAAUUGCGCGGCUGGAGUGCAGGAGGGGCAGGCGGAAUUCCUGGUGUAGCGGUGAAAUGCGUAGAUAUCAGGAGGAACACCGGUGGCGAAGGCGGCCUGCUGGACUGCGACUGACGUUGAGGCCCGAAAGCGUGGGGAGCAAACAGGAUUAGAUACCCCAGUAAG
Molecule: ribosomal RNA, 448 nt
Filed under: uncultured bacterium
Lineage: Bacteria
Description: partial 16S ribosomal RNA
Rfam family: Bacterial small subunit ribosomal RNA
Source: RNAcentral